This is a long non-coding RNA of Hippocampus comes (tiger tail seahorse), 474 nucleotides long. RefSeq lists it as uncharacterized. The record is from RefSeq and is a predicted model, not a curated record. The transcript has 3 exons. NCBI's taxonomy places the organism in Eukaryota, Metazoa, Chordata, Actinopteri, Syngnathiformes, Syngnathidae.
UUGUAGAAGAGGUGAGAGUUGUCCUGCAGCCUGCAGCAAUCUAACAAAAAACAGAUAAGAGAGAGGGGUGUAAUUUCUCAACAGCAACAUGCAAUGCUCCGGGUAUCCCUCCUCCCUCAUUUCAGUUUAACGCUAAAUGAACAACCAAUACCAAUUACAAUAAUGCGAGUACAUUAACCUUUAACGAGGCAAUAAACAAUACGUCCAAAAAAAAAAAAAAAACGUCACAAAGACUGGUGUGCCAAUGUUGUACAAAGAUCACCCUCAGGAAUGGUAAACCGUCUCAGACCUUUCCCACUGAAUCAACGAGUCGAGAUUUUGCUGCAUCAUCCUCAGGGUGUUUUCGGCCUCCUGCGAGGGGAAAAAAAUGGACAACAUACAGGGAGCGAGUAAGAAAGGGGCAGAAAGAAAAACAAAUGCUAUGACCAAAAACACAGCGAAAAGCAGCAUUCAACUUACAAGAUCGUGGGAAGA